This 480-nucleotide ribosomal RNA is filed under the name uncultured bacterium. RNAcentral's name for it is "bacterial SSU rRNA". It matches the Rfam family "Bacterial small subunit ribosomal RNA", at positions 355 to 850 of the family's 1533-position model. The record is from RNAcentral.
UGGGGAAUCUUGGACAAUGGGGGCAACCCUGAUCCAGCCAUGCCGCGUGAGUGAUGAAGGCCUUAGGGUCGUAAAGCUCUUUCGCCUGUGAAGAUAAUGACGGUAGCAGGUAAAGAAACCCCGGCUAACUCCGUGCCAGCAGCCGCGGUAAUACGGAGGGGGUUAGCGUUGUUCGGAAUUACUGGGCGUAAAGCGCACGUAGGCGGACCAGAAAGUUGGGGGUGAAAUCCCGGGGGCUCAACCCCGGAACUGCCUCCAAAACUAUUGGUCUAGAGUUCGAGAGAGGUGAGUGGAAUUCCAAGUGUAGAGGUGAAAUUCGUAGAUAUUUGGAGGAACACCAGUGGCGAAGGCGGCUCACUGGCUCGAUACUGACGCUGAGGUGCGAAAGUGUGGGGAGCAAACAGGAUUAGAUACCCUGGGUAGUCCACGCCGUAAAACGAUGAAUGCCAGUUGUCGGAUAGUAUACUAUUCGGUGACACA